This 253-nucleotide ribosomal RNA is filed under the name uncultured bacterium. RNAcentral's name for it is "partial 16S ribosomal RNA". It matches the Rfam family "Bacterial small subunit ribosomal RNA", at positions 524 to 776 of the family's 1533-position model. The record is from RNAcentral.
UACGAAGGUCCCGAGCGUUGUUCGGAAUCACUGGGCGUAAAGCGCGUGUAGGCGGCUAAGUAAGUCGGGCGUGAAAUCCCACGGCUCAACCGUGGAAGUGCACUCGAAACUGCAUAGCUAGAGUCCUGGAGAGGAAGGUGGAAUGCUUGGUGUAGAGGUGAAAUUCGUAGAUAUCAAGCGGAACACCGGUGGCGAAGGCGACCUUCUGGACAGUGACUGACGCUGAGACGCGAAAGCGUGGGGAGCAAACAGG